GACGAACGCUGGCGGCGUGCUUAACACAUGCAAGUCGAACGGAAAGGCCCUGCUUUUGUGGGGUGCUCGAGUGGCGAACGGGUGAGUAACACGUGAGUAACCUGCUUUUGACUUUGGGAUAUCUUCAGGAAACUGGGGCUAAUACCGGAUAGGAGCUCCUGCUGCAUGGUGGGGGUUGGAAAGUUUCGGCGGUUGGGGAUGGACUCGCGGCUUAUCAGCUUGUUGGUGGGGUAGUGGCUUACCAAGGCUUUGACGGGUAGCCGGCCUGAGAGGGUGACCGGCCCCAUUGGGACGGAGAUGCGGCCCAGACUCCAACGGGAGGCAGCAGUGGAGAAUAUUGCACAGUGGGCGGAAGCCUGAUGCGGCAACGCCGCGUGCGGGAUGACGGCCUUCGGGUUGUAAACCGCUUUCGCCUGUGACGAAGCGUGAGUGACGGUAAUGGGUAAAGAAGCACCGGCUAACUACGUG
This 468-nucleotide ribosomal RNA is filed under the name uncultured bacterium. Its description in RNAcentral is "partial 16S ribosomal RNA". It matches the Rfam family "Bacterial small subunit ribosomal RNA", at positions 28 to 507 of the family's 1533-position model. The record is from RNAcentral.